Molecule: long non-coding RNA, 418 nt
Filed under: Sorghum bicolor (sorghum)
Lineage: Eukaryota; Viridiplantae; Streptophyta; Magnoliopsida; Poales; Poaceae
Description: long non-coding RNA (SBIC_LNC013760)
Source: RNAcentral
UUGUUUUCUGUUUUGAGUGGCUGCCUCCGGUGGUUGAAAGUUUUUAAGUGGGAGUUGUAAUUAUGUUGUACUUUCUUUUAUUUUUCCUCGUCUAAUAAAAAUACGGCAAAAUCUUUCUGCCGCCUUUCGAAAAAAAGUCAUUAGUUUUAUUUUACUCCCAAAUUUCACGUGUGGAACGCUACGAAUUGUUUAGACUUUUAUGACUUGUUUAUUUACUUUGAAGUUUGAACAAAGCACAUGCUCUUGACUCUUGACUCUGGACGUAAAAAAUUAAAAUCUCCAACGAUCUUCAACAUCAGUGGUAACAGACAAAUUCUUCGCCUAACCUCUCCUGUUCCAAUUUGAUUGUGUUGAUGCUAUUCCCAUCUUUAGUUUAACAAUGUUGAACUGGUCAUUAUAUAUUCUCUAUGGCCAUAUC